Molecule: long non-coding RNA, 1165 nt
Filed under: Anser cygnoides (Swan goose)
Lineage: Eukaryota; Metazoa; Chordata; Aves; Anseriformes; Anatidae
Description: lncRNA (ENSACDG00005011173.1)
Source: RNAcentral
GUCGGGUAAUAGGGAAUAUAAGGUUAUGAUAAACUUUUACUGUGUGCUCCUGCUUACAGGAUGCCUACCAUUGCAAUCAUGAAUAAAAUAGCUUCACAGAAGAUCCUGUCUGAAGAAAAUUAUUGAGAUUUUUCUCACAGUUUGGGGGCUCAUCCAGGAUCUUGUUGCAUACCCAAGAGUUCUUGCCACCGCAGACAGGAAGGUGCACCCUGCUGAUUUCAGCGGUCCUGUUGGGGGUGGUGGGUUCUCUUGGUAUGGCUGACAAAGGACUGAGACUGUUAAUCUGAAGACAGGCUCUGUGAAGCACUGGGACAGACACACUACAUGACACACUACACACUACAAGACAUGGCACAGACACACUGCAGACACAAGGCAGACACAGUACAGGCACAGGGAUAACUGCUGAUAACCCAGAGCGGGAAUUCUGUGCAUGGACCGAGCUAGAAAACACAUGAUCUCAGAACAACCCUCACACCAGCAGUUACUUUUCUGUCUUCCUCCCAUUCUCUUGUUUCAUGAAGGAAAUGGAAGCCAGCAGCUCAGCCCUGAUAGUUAAGAGGUAGAAAUCACCAACCCUUUUUCUUGCUUUCUACUUAUCUGAUCCAAGGUAGAAGCAAAACAAACACUCAGAAUGUAACUAGCAGACAUAGGAACUAUAAUCCCAUUGAAAUUUUAUUGUUAGAACCUGCUUAAUCUCAGGUGAAAGUCUUGCAUAUGUGAUGGCACGCUAUAAACUUACAUACUCUUUCCCUUCCUUACUCACUUGAUUGUGCAACAGCAGGACAAAUAUUUCCCAAAUCAAAGAUGAGUUAGUGUUUUAUCUCCAAGCUCAGCAGUUUCAGGUUUUUACUAUAGUUCAUGACAUGACUGUUUUUUGUCGUUGUUCUUGUUGUUGUUGUUUCUGUGUUUGUUUGUUUAUUUUGAUUGUUUUUUUUUGUUUGUUUUUAAAUUCUACUCUUUAAGAAAUAGAGACAUCAGGUUUUUUUUUUAUUUUUACACCUUGUAAAUUUCUUUUGGUCUUUUGACAUUUAAAUGCACCUAAGUAUGCUGUUUCGUAGAAUAGCUAUAUUUAUGUAGUCCCAGAAGUUUUACUUCAUGCAAAAUGGGGGGAAAUACCUAUGAAUAUUUUAUGAAAUAAAGCUUCUAUAUUUAAGAAAAGUCA